This is a non-coding RNA of Myotis brandtii (Brandt's bat), 79 nucleotides long. Lineage: Eukaryota; Metazoa; Chordata; Mammalia; Chiroptera; Vespertilionidae. The record is from Rfam.
GGUGGUUCUCAGGUGAUGCACCCUGAGAGGGUAUAGGGCUCCCUCUUCUCUGGUUCCGGUGCGUCACCCAAGAACCACA